CCCGUAAAUUAUGCGAGAGUUUAUUGUACUUUAUAAUGAGAAUUGGGGGCUGAUGUGUUAUUAUGUAAUAAUUUUGGGGCAUAAGCAUAAUAAUAAUUCUAUAAUUUAGUAACUUGGCCAUUAAGCAAUUGAGGGGCUUGUGUAAUCGGAUAAUUGAAUGUUAUUAACCAAGAAAAUUAGAGAGAGAGACACGUAGAAUAAAAGAUGAGUCAGACUUCCUCUUCAUCUUCAUCCGAUUCUUCCUACACUUCACUCCUCUUCUCCAAACUCCUUUCUCUCUCUCGCUCUCUCUCAUCAUCUCUCUCUUUCUCUCUCGCCCGCUCUCUCUUCCUCUCUCUCUCGAUCCUUGGCUGAAAUCAUGGAAGUUAAUUGAAGAAAAAAAAGUCGGAUUUAUAGUGGUGGUGGUCUCCAGUAGCAGUCGCCGGCGGUGGUGGCUGGAAUCCGACAAAGAAGACGAGCUGUCCAGAAUUUCAAUUUCAGAGUUUUGCCUUUUCCGUAAAUCAAUUAAACGGAGGUCUUAAAGAUGGAGCAUCGAUGAUCCGAAGGUACCGUUCGAAACCUUAAUAAGUUAGAUUUCCAGUGGUGGUGGUUCUUGAUUGUUUACAUCAGCGGUGGUCAUCGGAAUUGGCUAGAACUUCAGCUCGCUCGUUGAAACGAAGGGAAGCAAAUUCUGCUGCCGCACCUGUUUUCGGAGCCGAAAUCGAAGGGUUUCGAAUGCGAAUUUCGAAUCGGUUCCUUCAGGAAACUCGUAGAGGACAUCGUAAACUAUAAGUGUUGAGCGUAGUAAAGCUCUCACUCAAGGUUUAAGCUUAAAGAUGCUUCUAUAGCACUUCUAUAACACUAGCGUUGGACUCCAGGUGAGAAACUAUGACUCCUUAUCCGAUUUCUUUCCUGCGCUUAAUAUCUCCUUUGUUUGAACCAAAUAUAUUCUCCAUCUUGAAUCCUUUGAUGCAUUGAUUAUAUUUUUCUUGGAAUAUGAUCCUUAAUGUUCUGCGAGCAUAUUCGUUUCCUUGGCUCGAACUUGGAACCUUGAUCUUGUUCUUGAAAUCUCGAACUUGUCAAUUCUCUUGGUUGCUAUGUUCACGGCUAAUUCCUAUACUUGAUUCCUUGGCCUGAACAUUUUCCUUGAACUCGAUAUUGAACUAUAUUUAUUCUCAAAAUCUUGUCUUGAAUGCUUUCCGAGAAUAAAUAUUUUGUUGGCUCGAACUUGAAUCUCGUGUUUAUUGAAUUCUUUGAGAUCUUGAUAUACUCGUUCUUGGAACCUGACAUGGAAUUUAUUGUUCUUCUUGAAUUCCAUAUUCACGACAAUUCUUCAUUGGCUUGAAUUGAAAUCUGAACAUGUUCUUCAUUAUCCUGAGACUUGAUAUUCAAUUAUCAUGAUCGUGACUUAUCUUGUGAAUGAUUGACUUGAUUCUUGAAUUGAGUCUUGAAAUAAAUGACUUGAUAUUCCUAAAAGGAAUGAUAUUGAUUCUUGAACCUAUUGUCCCCACCCUUGAGGACGCUCUUGGGGGAGCUGGGCCCUAGGACCAUUUCGGCAAGACGAUCGGGCAGUAUUGGGCUGACGAUGACUGGUCUCCCGAAUGGUACCUCCUGAUGGUUCGGACUCACGUUCGUUUGGAGUUAAACGUUCCUGAGCCGGAUCGGCACGUUCCGGUCGUGCCUCUUGCUUGUUUCCGACCGAGUGGCCACUCGGGACGGAGUGGAGGGAUAAGGAUGUCAUAUGAUUUUAUUUGUUGGGAGUUACAAGGUAGGAGACCCCACCAAAUAUUGAACUCAAGCCGUACAUGUUACACUCUUGUACAUGUUACACUUAUGUUAAUGAAAUUCUUGUAAAGUCUCUCGUUAUAUGUUCUGUUCUGUUGAUUCUCAUCAUACUCAUGGAUCAUAUGUUUUUCACUAAGUCAUUCGGACUUAUUCGUUUCUCCUUUCUGAUAUUAAUGCGCAGGUAAAAGAAAGAUUUAUACCUAAAUUUUCAUACUAAGAGUUAAAGCUCGUGUAUGCCUCCGAUUAGUCUCGUCGAGAGGUAUCUCUGCUUAUGUUCCGUAUAGUUUGAUCGAGAAUGUUGUAAUAGAGUAAGUGGUGUCGAAGUCGACUUGUAAUAGAACCUCCUUUUGUAAACACGAUGGUAUAGA
This is a non-coding RNA of Erythranthe guttata (spotted monkey flower), 2132 nucleotides long. The record is from RefSeq and is a predicted model, not a curated record. NCBI's taxonomy places the organism in Eukaryota, Viridiplantae, Streptophyta, Magnoliopsida, Lamiales, Phrymaceae.